GUGUUUUCCUUCUCUGUCUUUCUUGCUGUCUUGUUUUCUCUUUUCCUUCCGUCCCUCUGCCCUCUCUUCAUUUCCCCAAACUGAGCUGUUUAUCUCAAGCACUGAGGCCUCUGAAGGCCCUGGAAUUUGUCCAGGUUAUUUCUGUCUUCUGCAAAUUCAGCCCACCACUGUACCAGAAUGAGCUGAACCUCUGCCUUGAGUUUGUCAAAAUGUGUUUUGAGCCUGAAAUGUUUAAAAGAAGCCAGACAUAUGGCAUAUUCUAAGUAAAUUUUGCUUCACUGGAAGAUUCGGAAUCAGCUGUCAGUGACUAUGUGAUACAGUCCUGCACCAUAAUAAUGAUAAGGAAAUUUAUAGAAACAUGUAGUGAAAAACUUAAUUGAACAUACAGAAAAGAGGAUAGUUUUAUCCAUCCUGAUUCAGAAUAGUGCUUAAACUUUUCCUUCCCGUUAAGAACACUUAAGUACCUUUCCCAAGUAAAGACUGAUAAUCAUCUGACUUUGAUUAUGGUAGCAAGUGAUACUAGACAGAUAUUACGUCCAGAAUAAAAUACAGAACAAAACACAUAUUUGCUUGGAUAAAUGUAUCUAUCUCACUGCAUUGACAUUCUGCCUACUGCUCAGCAGUACUGCUGGAACUUCUCUCUCGGAUUUAAGCUUCUUGAAUAUAUCCGUAAUCUCUGGAGGUGUAAAGGGCAUCAUUCUGUAAUGAGUGUUUAUCAAGACUGCCAUUUAGACUUCUUGAGAUCUUUCUGCUCCAAAAGGGCACAUACAGCAUUAAAGGUCUGCUGCCAUCAUCGACAGUCAUGUUAGCCAUGUAUGAAACCCUGUAUAUUGUGAAGAAGAGAGAAGCUACAUCUUUUAUCAAGUCCUUCCAUUUCUAAAUACUGGCUUCAGCAUGUAUUUAACACUAGAUACUUUAAAGAGUAAAAUGUGAUAAUAUCUGGUUAUCAUAUCAUGAUACCUUAUUUUUUUGUAUGUCUUUUUGCAUCAGUGUUAUCUAGAAAAGUCUUUUUUUUUCCCAAUGAGUUAGUGUAUCUCCAACCUGCCUGACUAACUGGGCAAGUUAACACUGACCUUUGCAGUUGCUUUGUAUUCUUGCUUUGCUUUCCCCCUUUUCAUGACAUUGUCUUUCAGGGUAGCUCAUGAGGGUGUAGAUUUUUAGGGGGCAUAGUUAACUGAAGGUCAUAGAAAGCUGGCAUUUAAACAGAGAAACCAUGCAUUCUUGAUGUUCAUGAGUCUGGAAAUUAUACUUCCUCUUGGUUUUGUGGUGGCAAAUUAUCACUUGAUAAAUAAAUAGAAAUUAAAGGGUGUUUUUAUUUUCUUUUUGUAUUUUAUUUCUUGUGGAAAUACACUCUGCACUUUAAUAGUCUAAAAGGAUGGAAAUACACUCUGCACUUUAACAGUCUAAAAGGAAUAAUGAUUCUGGUGGAGUAGCAGGGGGUUGAAACUACAUGAUCAUUAUGUCCCUUUCCAAUCCAGGCCAUUCUAUGAUUUUAUGAUCCUCUGAUUAUUGGAACGCUGGACGAAUGUCUGCCAGAUCUACUGGAACUUUGGAGCAGGUUGCUAUACAGAAAUUUUCAGGAAUAUGUUCUUUUUUUUAGGAACUUGAUAGUCUUUGUUGACAAAUCAUACAGUAGCCAGACACAUAUUAAAAUUAAUGCAUAUGAGCCAGUGAGUGAAGGAGUCCCCUUGGAUACAUUCUUUUAUCAUCUUGGAGAUGCCUGGGUACUGGAGGUGAGCAGGCUGAGUUACAGUACACUAGUUCUGGACUAGAAGGAGACGUCUCUCCUGAAAGAAAAAUCCUCAAGAGAUAUGGAGAGGUGGAUCU
Molecule: non-coding RNA, 1827 nt
Organism: Meleagris gallopavo (turkey)
Lineage: Eukaryota; Metazoa; Chordata; Aves; Galliformes; Phasianidae
Source: RefSeq, a predicted model, not a curated record